Molecule: non-coding RNA, 936 nt
Organism: Rhinolophus ferrumequinum (greater horseshoe bat)
Lineage: Eukaryota; Metazoa; Chordata; Mammalia; Chiroptera; Rhinolophidae
Source: the annotation of a RefSeq genome assembly
GGCCGCGGGAGUCGGCGGCGGGUCGGGAUGGAAGGCGGGGACCCAGGGCCCUUUGCCAUCUGAGCACCUGGUCCUGCGCUGCGCGGGAGCCGGGCUGAGACCCGCGAGCGGGAUGCGGCCGCGGCGCCCCGGGUUUGUGUGCGGAGCUGGGUCUCUGUGCUCCUAUGAGCAGUUCUUCGGCCCCGGCACCAAGCUCACGGUCUUAGAGGACCUGAGUGAGGUGAAACUACCCAAGGUCACUGUGUUUGAACCAUCCGAAGCAGAGAUCAAGGAGAAACAGAAGGCCACGCUCGUGUGCCUGGCCACUGGCUUCUACCCCGACCACGUGGAGCUGAGCUGGUGGGUGAAUGGCAAGGAGGUCCAGAAUGGGGUCGGCACGGACACGCAGCCCUACAAGGAGCACCCCGACCAGAAAACCUCUACCUACCGUCUCAGCAGCCGGCUGAGGGUCUCUGCCACCUUCUGGCACAACCCCCGCAACCACUUCCGCUGCCAAGUCCAUUUCUAUGGGCUCGAUGACAAUGACCAGAAAAAUUGGAAUCAGAACCACUCCUUCCCCGCCACCCAGAUCAUCAGUGCCGAGACCCCGGGCAGAGCAGACUGUGGCGCCACCUCAGCAUCCUAUCAACAAGGAUUCCUGUCUGCCACCAUCCUGUAUGAGAUCCUGCUGGGGAAGGCCACGCUGUAUGCAGUGCUGGUCAGUGCCCUCGUGCUGAUGGCCAUGGUCAAGAAAAAGGAUUCCUGAGGCCAGCUCCAAAGUGUAUCCUGAGUCGUUCUCCAUCCUCCUUUAUGUGCUUCCAACCUAUGCUCCUAAAGAAGUCUCUCUCCCCAUCUUACCUCCUUCCUACACUGCUAUUUGUCCCUUCUCUCUGCUGCCCCGCAGACUGUACUCCUCACGCCUCAUCUGAAAUAGACUAAAGCAAUAAAGGUGUCAUA